Anoplopoma fimbria (sablefish) is the source of this 314-nucleotide long non-coding RNA. RefSeq lists it as uncharacterized. The transcript is spliced from 3 exons. Lineage: Eukaryota; Metazoa; Chordata; Actinopteri; Perciformes; Anoplopomatidae. The record is from RefSeq and is a predicted model, not a curated record.
CCAUGUAGUCCACACUGGAGUUGAACACGGAGCCAAGGUGUGCAGAAAGCGAGACAUGGGCAGAUUCCACGAUGUCACCACCUCCACCAUCGACCGGGGUAAUUCUAUACUCAGUGGCUUGGAUACAGUCAUAUCCCUACAAAACAAAAAGAUAAAAGGCCUGCUCCAGCCAGAGUGGUGGUGGUCUCACUCAAAUAACCAACAAAAUAAUUGCUAAAGUGGAAAGACAUUGUGUUCUCAUACGCCAGCAACCACCUAAUGCAAAGACAUUAAAAGAGGAAGAAUCAGAUGGAUAUUACAUGAAAGUAACAGAU